AUUGAACGCUGGCGGCAGGCUUAACACAUGCAAGUCGAGCGGUAACAGAGAGAAGCUUGCUUCUCUGCUGACGAGCGGCGGACGGGUGCGUAAUGCCUAGGAAUCUGCCUAGUAGUGGGGGAUAACUUGCCGAAAGGUAAGCUAAUACCGCAUACGUCCUACGGGAGAAAGGAGGGGACCUUCGGGCCUUUCGCUAUUAGAUGAGCCUAGGUCGGAUUAGUUAGUUGGUGAGGUAAUGGCUCACCAAGACCGCGAUCCGUAACUGGUCUGAGAGGAUGAUCAGUAACACUGGAACUGAGACACGGUCCAGACUCCUACGGGAGGCAGCAGUGGGGAAUAUUGGAAAAUGGGGGGAACACUGAUCCAGCCAUGCCGCGUGUGUGAAGAAGGUCUUAGGAUUGUAAAGCACUUUAAGUUGGGAGGAAGAGCAGUUAACUAAUAUUUGACUGUUUUGACGUUACCGACAGAAUAAGCACCGGCUAACUUCGUGCCAGCCGCCGCCGUAA
This 506-nucleotide ribosomal RNA is filed under the name uncultured bacterium. RNAcentral's name for it is "partial 16S ribosomal RNA". It matches the Rfam family "Bacterial small subunit ribosomal RNA", at positions 30 to 523 of the family's 1533-position model. The record is from RNAcentral.